GUGUAAUUAAAACAAAAAAAAAAAUAUGUCAAGUAUGUAUGUGUGUGGUCGAUCGUGAGAAGGCCAGGAGAAAGUUCUCCAUCUCAAAACCCUAAGAUACUAAAUUCCAUCAAAUUGAAAAGGGAGUCAAGGAUUUUUCAAAUGCAUGAGCCAAUAACUUCAACUAUCAAAGUGUUCUUGACAUCUAGAACAAAGAAGGAAGAAGGCGCAAGUCACUCGAAAUCACAAGCAUCUCAAGAUCGCUGUAAAUCCCAGGCUUGAUAGUGGCGCUUUCGGACCGAACACACAAUGUCGACCUUUUUGCAUGCUUCCGGUUCAAGUUGUCAAUUAUGAAUGGGUCAAAGUUUUCAUUUUGUAAUAUGAUGUCAAACUUGGGUUUAGUAUGUUAGUAAGUAGUUUGGAUUUCUAAACUUUUUGUUGUAGUAUGUACAAAAUAGUUAUGGUGAACCUUUUAUGGUCACGACUUUGUUAUUUUGAAAGUGUCGUAGUACUUAACUAAAA
This is a long non-coding RNA of Helianthus annuus (common sunflower), 501 nucleotides long. RefSeq lists it as uncharacterized. The transcript is spliced from 3 exons. Lineage: Eukaryota; Viridiplantae; Streptophyta; Magnoliopsida; Asterales; Asteraceae. The record is from RefSeq and is a predicted model, not a curated record.